Molecule: ribosomal RNA, 230 nt
Filed under: uncultured bacterium
Lineage: Bacteria
Description: partial 16S ribosomal RNA
Rfam family: Bacterial small subunit ribosomal RNA
Source: RNAcentral
CGUAACGCGUAUAGAACCUACCUUUUACAGGGGAAUAGCCCAGAGAAAUUUGGAUUAAUGCCCCAUAGUAUUAUAGAAUGGCAUCAUUUUAUAAUUAAACAUUUAUGGGUAAAAGAUGGCUAUGCGUUCUAUUAGCUAGAUGGUAAGGUAACGGCUUACCAUGGCAACGAUAGAUAGGGGUCCUGAGAGGGAGAUCCCCCACACUGGUACUGAGACACGGACCAGACUCC